This 482-nucleotide ribosomal RNA is filed under the name uncultured bacterium. RNAcentral describes it as "partial 16S ribosomal RNA". It matches the Rfam family "Bacterial small subunit ribosomal RNA", at positions 30 to 507 of the family's 1533-position model. The record is from RNAcentral.
AUUGAACGCUGGCGGCAUGCCUUACACAUGCAAGUCGAACGGUAACAGGUCUUCGGAUGCUGACGAGUGGCGAACGGGUGAGUAAUACAUCGGAACGUGCCCGAUCGUGGGGGAUAACGGAGCGAAAGCUUUGCUAAUACCGCAUACGAUCUACGGAUGAAAGCAGGGGACCGCAAGGCCUUGCGCGGACGGAGCGGCCGAUGGCAGAUUAGGUAGUUGGUGGGAUAAAAGCUUACCAAGCCGACGAUCUGUAGCUGGUCUGAGAGGACGACCAGCCACACUGGGACUGAGACACGGCCCAGACUCCUACGGGAGGCAGCAGUGGGGAAUUUUGGACAAUGGGCGAAAGCCUGAUCCAGCCAUGCCGCGUGCAGGAUGAAGGCCUUCGGGUUGUAAACUGCUUUUGUACGGAACGAAAAGACUCUUACUAAUAAAGAGGGUCCAUGACGGUACCGUAAGAAUAAGCACCGGCUAACUACGUG